This 301-nucleotide ribosomal RNA is filed under the name uncultured bacterium. RNAcentral describes it as "partial 16S ribosomal RNA". It matches the Rfam family "Bacterial small subunit ribosomal RNA", at positions 509 to 807 of the family's 1533-position model. The record is from RNAcentral.
CAGCAGCCGCGGGAAUACGAAGGGUGCAAGCGUUAAUCGGAAUUACUGGGCGUAAAGGGUGCGUAGGCGGUUGUUUAAGUCUGUUGUGAAAUCCCCGGGCUCAACCUGGGAAUGGCAAUGGAAGCUGGACGGCUAGAGUGUGUCAGAGGAUGGUGGAAUUCCCGGUGUAGCGGUGAAAUGCGUAGAGAUCGGGAGGAACAUCAGUGGCGAAGGCGGCCAUCUGGGACAACACUGACGCUGAGGCACGAAAGCGUGGGGAGUAAACAGGAUUAGAUACCCCCGUAGUCCCUGUCUCUUAUAC